GAAGAAGGAGGUUGGUCGUCGCUGGGACCGUGGGGCCAAUUAGGCCCGCACAUGAACCACUCAUCUAUGAUCUCAUCUCCAUUACCAAUCAACAGAGUUCUUCAUAAUCAGCACUGAAUUCACAUUUAUCAUUAAGAUGGGUUGUUUAAGCCUGUACUAGUCGGUCUAACAUCAUCGCGAACUCCAAAGUUUUAGUGCUUGGAAUUGAUUGCGAGCAUCCAACGAUCGAAGCACUACGAGUCAUCUACAAGUUC
Molecule: long non-coding RNA, 254 nt
Filed under: Populus trichocarpa (black cottonwood)
Lineage: Eukaryota; Viridiplantae; Streptophyta; Magnoliopsida; Malpighiales; Salicaceae
Description: long non-coding RNA (PTRI_LNC002226)
Source: RNAcentral